Molecule: small RNA, 768 nt
Filed under: Pan troglodytes (chimpanzee)
Lineage: Eukaryota; Metazoa; Chordata; Mammalia; Primates; Hominidae
Description: retained intron
Source: RNAcentral
GCCACACACAACUCAGAAUGUGGCAAGGGCAAGCCGCUGUGGCAGGCGCUUUUGGAAAAGUAACACUGCGUCUAUCCUUUUUUUUUUUUCCAGUGUGCGUUUUAAUAGAAAAGUUGUCACUUUCCAAAAUGCCCUUUAGAGGUGACACCGUAAUUGAUGGUUGGCAAUGGCUGAUAAAUGACACUUUGAGACAUCUCCAUCUCAUCUCAAGUCACUCCCGCCAGCAGAUGAAGGAUGCAGCGGUCUCGGCCCUGGCUGCUCUAUGCAGUGAAUAUUACAUGAAGGAGCCGGGGGAGGCAGAUCCCGCAAUUCAGGAGGAGCUGAUCACGCAGUACCUGGCUGAGCUUCGGAACCCCGAGGAGAUGACUCGCUGUGGCUUCUCGUUGGCCUUGGGCGCCCUUCCAGGCUUCCUUCUGAAAGGCCGGCUCCAGCAGGUUCUCACAGGUUUAAGAGCAGUUACCCACACUUCCCCCGAGGACGUAAGUUUUGCUGAGUCCAGGAGAGAUGGCUUGAAGGCCAUUGCUAGGAUUUGCCAGACUGUCGGUGUGAAAGCAGGAGCCCCAGACGAAGCUGUGUGCAGAGAGAAUGUUUCCCAGAUUUACUGUGCGCUGCUGGGCUGCAUGGACGACUACACCACGGACAGCAGAGGGGACGUGGGCACCUGGGUCCGCAAGGCCGCCAUGACCAGUCUGAUGGAUCUGACACUUCUGCUGGCUCGGAGCCAGCCUGAGCUGAUCGAGGCCCAUAUCUGUGAGCGCAUCAUGUGCU